Molecule: ribosomal RNA, 253 nt
Filed under: uncultured bacterium
Lineage: Bacteria
Description: partial 16S ribosomal RNA
Rfam family: Bacterial small subunit ribosomal RNA
Source: RNAcentral
UACGAAGGGAGCUAGCGUUGUUCGGAAUCACUGGGCGUAAAGCGCACGUAGGCGGAUUUGUCAGUCAGGGGUGAAAUCCCGGGGCUCAACCUCGGAACUGCCUUUGAUACAGCAAGUCUUGAGUUCGAGAGAGGUGGGUGGAAUACCUAGUGUAGAGGUGAAAUUCGUAGAUAUUAGGAAGAACACCGGUGGCGAAGGCGGCCCACUGGCUCGAUACUGACGCUGAGGUGCGAAAGCGUGGGGAGCAAACAGG